CUCCUCCUGGAGGACCCCGAGGUGUUCCCAGACCAGAUGAGAUCUGCAGUCCCUCCAGCCUGCAGGAAGGACAGACAUGUUACUGAGGUCCACCAUCUGAAAUACAGUCUUGGGACAUGUUGAAAGUUUCCACUGCCCACCAUCAUCGGCCUCUCACCUGACACUGAAAAGUGCAAAACUCUCAGUUGAAAAACUGAGAAGUCCUGUUAGAAAAAAUAAGAAGAAUCACUGCAGCAGGGUGGUGCUGGUGCAAGAGCUGAGGCGAGAGCAGCUGAUGCUGGAGGACAGUGCAUCUCUAAAACAUCCCAUAACUGCAUUUCAAAUAGCGGACCUCUGCAACAUAUCUAUCCUUCCUUUGGUGGACUGUGACCGGCAGCAGCCAAACGGCACCUCGUCAUUACAACAUCCGACAGCUGCGGCAGGAGGAGACGAGAGAAGGAAGAGAACGAGGGAAGAAAGAGAGAAAGAGUCAUCAUGUUGUGCUAAUUGUCUCAUUUGUGCUCCAAUAAACAGUGAAUUCAU
Non-coding RNA from Epinephelus lanceolatus (giant grouper), 522 nucleotides. NCBI's taxonomy places the organism in Eukaryota, Metazoa, Chordata, Actinopteri, Perciformes, Serranidae. The record is from RefSeq and is a predicted model, not a curated record.